Aquila chrysaetos chrysaetos is the source of this 289-nucleotide long non-coding RNA. RefSeq lists it as uncharacterized. The record is from RefSeq and is a predicted model, not a curated record. The transcript is spliced from 3 exons. NCBI's taxonomy places the organism in Eukaryota, Metazoa, Chordata, Aves, Accipitriformes, Accipitridae.
UCUGGCAUGACUUGUCACCCCAUGGAAAGGACCCAUGCUGCAGCAGUUUGUGAAGAACUUCAGCCUGUGGGAAGAACCCACAUUGGAGAAUUUCAUGGAGGACUGUCUCCCGUGGGAGGGACCCCAUGCUGGAGCAGGGGAAGAGUGUGAGGAGUCCUGCGCCUGAGGUGGAAGAAGCAGCGGAGACAACGUGUGACAAAGUGACCUCAACCCCCAUUCCCCGUCUCCCUGCGCCACUGACGGGAGGAGGUAGAGAAAAUUGGGAGUAAAGUUGAGCCUGGGAAGAAGG